AGAAAACCAGUGCCUGUUGGUUGUUAUAGGAAACUACUGGACUGCUCAGAAUUAUGCACUGUUUGCUCCUGAUCCCUCGUGAUAUUGUCAGUCUAGUCAGAAGAUUUCUUAUGUCGAUUCAAUUUUUUUUUAUAGAGCUAUAGCAUGUUAUAUUCUGGGGCAAGUUAUAUUAAUCAGAUUGUUUGAUUUGAUUGAAAGCCUUGGUAAUGGUCACAUCUGAAGUUCUGGUGAUUUUAGUAGUUAUGUUGCUUUGUUUGGAAGCCAGGACAGUUCAUUUAGAGCUAAUAAUAUACAUGAACAUGGAGAUGAUUCUACGAUUAUAAUAGUUGGAGCAUCUUUUUAUGCAAUAUUGAUGCUUCUAUUUAUAGACAAAUUUGUUUCUUUGCUUGCAUACAUGAGUUUCUAUGCAUAGCAAUUAUGAUUUGAUAAUCUGACUACAUAAAUAAUAGUUUUUACAGAUUGUUUUCAUGUACUUUUGAUUUGGCAAUCUGACUAAAUAAAUAGAGUUUCUAUGCACUUCUAUGCAUGUUUUUAUGUGCGCGAUUAUGCUUUUGAAUGCAAAAUUGAUUUGAAUAAAUGGACCAAACACAUGCUAGCCUUUGUAAAUUUAAUUUAGUAUGUGUUUCGUUUUGGUAGUAUAUGUGGCACCAAAUGAUUAAGUGUUCUGGGAGUAGCAGCUUCACAGAGGAAUAGGUGGAUUUUUUAUGCCCGUGAAUUAUUUUUUUGCCACAUAAAAUUGUUUUUUCCCCUAUAAUUACUAGAUCAUUGGAUGCAUAGUAACUAAAGCAGCAAGAUAAGGGGAAGAAGAGGGACACACUGGCUGACGACGUGGACAACGGCAACGGUGUUGCACGAGACAUCCAAGGAUUUUUACGUGAUUGUUUAACAUUUUUUAUGCCUUCAUGGAUGUUUUGUGCUUAGCCUUGAUUUAAUGUGAAUGCAACUCAAAUCAUUUCCUGCAAAUUUAUUUCUGUCCUUGCAUAUAUAAGUUUCUAUGCAUAGCAGUUAUGACUUGGCAAUCUGACUAAAUAAAUAAUGAAUUUCGCAGAUUGUUUUCAUAUACUUUAAUUUUUUAUUUCUAUACUUCUUGAGCCAACCGUGCAAUUAAGAAAUCAUCUGGAACUCUAUACAUUGUUGGAGCAUAUUUUAUACAUUGUUGGAGCAUAAUUUUAUACAUUUAUACAUUGUUGGAACUCAAUUUUAUAUGUUUUGUGCUUUCUAAUUUUCUAGUAUUUGCAUCAAUGUAAGUUUCUAUUCUAGCAUUAGUGAGUUUCUAUGCAUAUCUUCAAUUUUCUCUGAUAAGAGGCUAAAAUUACUUAUUUUUGUGAAACUACUGCAUGAGUGUAGUGCCAAUCAACGGUGGCGGAUGGUGGCGUGGACAACGACAAUGGCACGGCGUGGUCAACUGACUAGAGGCAAGCCGCAAGAGGAUCCUACACCUACUGCUGCAGCCCUCCAGGCUUCCCAUGUGUUCUAUGCUUAGGUUUUUACACAUUUAGAUCCUGUAUUUUGACUAUGAAAUUUGAUUGUUUUUUUUUUGCUGAUUUAGAACAUGACACAUAUCAAUUUGUGUGCUUGUAGCUCUUGAUUGUUCAAAUUAUUCAUGCUUAGUGUGCAUAGGAUUCUAUGCAAUUCAUUUUCAUGCAAUUUUGAAUUUUGGAUGUAAAUUUCUAAUUACUUACCUCCACUAAGCUUUCUAUGCUUGGAAGUAAUAAUUUGUGGUGGGUUCUAGAUGCUUGCCCCAUGACAUUCGAUAUAUUGUUGGUCCCCCAGGGCCAUCCAUCUCUGAGCUACAGAAUGAACAACAAGGUCAAUUCAAAAUUUAUUUCUCCAUUCAUCUAUAUCGGAUGCCUCUAAAUUUUGACGGAUUGUUAUAUGCACUGUUACAUUUCUAUAUGUAUACUCAACUUUCUGUGAUUUUAUCACUAGUGUUUUUAUACUUCUAGUGGCAAGGUUCUAUGUGUUGUUACAUUUCUAUGUGUAUUGUCAGUGCGAUAAUCUAGUGGCAAGGUUUAUGCAGAAUUUUAUAUACAUUAAUGGAUAGUAUUUUAUAUAUUGUUGGAACACAAUUUUAUACAUUAUUGAGGUAUAUUUAUAUAUAAUGUUGGAUCACAUUACUAGAUGACAUUUCUAUAGUUUUUAUGACAUGCAUUCUUUUAGAUGACUUCUAUACAUCACUAGAUGAUAUUUCUAUAGUUUGUUACAGAUUUCUAUACAGUUAUCAAUAAUGACUAUUGUAGUUUGUUUUAUUGUACUUUGUGUGAUCUUUUUGGUCACAUAGGGUGUUUUAUGAAUUUGACCUUGGUUGUUUAUGCUUCACUAAAAUACAAUGAGCACAAGGGAUCCAACUGCGGCUAGAUCAAUUUAUUUUUGUGUUUUUAUGACAUGUUUGAAUAUUUUGUGUAUCUGAGGAAUAUAGCCAUAGGUCGUAAAUUUUUUAUGCCAACUGUGUAAUAGCUAAAGUGUAACGUGUGUGUAUCAGUUUAAAUGCUCUAUAUAUUGUUAGUAUAGAAUUCUAAACACUGUUGGUAUACCAGGUCAGAGGGGAUGAGCGGCGAGGCCACCAAGUCUGAAAGCGGCGACAGGCUCAUGGGUCCAGGGACGGCUCGUGUCCACAGCCGACAGCUUGUAUCAGCAUAAAUAAUUGUGGCCAAAUCUUUAUCUUUUGCAAGCUCCUAUAGUCUAGUUUGAUUGUUUAUUAAUUACAUUAAAAGUCAUUCCUAGUUUUUAUGCAUUCUAAUUUGGGUAGCCAUAAUGUGCAGUAAGGCAAUAGUCACUACCAACAUUGGCUGAAACUAGUUGUAUUGUUCUGUGCUUUGGAUUUUGAUUUUUAUAAAUGGUCUGUGAUUGUUUAA
This is a long non-coding RNA of Sorghum bicolor (sorghum), 2855 nucleotides long. RefSeq lists it as uncharacterized. The transcript has 2 exons. Lineage: Eukaryota; Viridiplantae; Streptophyta; Magnoliopsida; Poales; Poaceae. The record is from RefSeq and is a predicted model, not a curated record.